GAUGAACGCUGGCGGCGUGCCUAAUACAUGCAAGUCGAGCGAACAGACGAGGAGCUUGCUCCUCUGACGUUAGCGGCGGACGGGUGAGUAACACGUGGAUAACCUACCUAUAAGACUGGGAUAACUUCGGGAAACCGGAGCUAAUACCGGAUAAUAUAUUGAACCGCAUGGUUCAAUAGUGAAAGACGGUUUUGCUGUCACUUAUAGAUGGUUCCGCGCCGCAUUAGCUAGUUGGUAAGGUAACGGCUUACCAAGGCAACGAUGCGUAGCCGACCUGAGAGGGUGAUCGGCCACACUGGAACUGAGACACGGUCCAGACUCCUACGGGAGGCAGCAGUAGGGAAUCGUCCGCAAUGGGCGAAAGCCUGACGGAGCAACGCCGCGUGAGUGAUGAAGGUCUUCGGAUCGUAAAACUCUGUUAUUAGGGAAGAACAAAUGUGUAAGUAACUAUGCACGUCUUGACGGUACCGAAUCAGAAAGCCACGGCUAACUACGUG
This 497-nucleotide ribosomal RNA is filed under the name uncultured bacterium. RNAcentral's name for it is "partial 16S ribosomal RNA". It matches the Rfam family "Bacterial small subunit ribosomal RNA", at positions 28 to 507 of the family's 1533-position model. The record is from RNAcentral.